Molecule: ribosomal RNA, 264 nt
Filed under: uncultured bacterium
Lineage: Bacteria
Description: partial 16S ribosomal RNA
Rfam family: Bacterial small subunit ribosomal RNA
Source: RNAcentral
UCUUAGUGGCGGACGGGUGAGUAACGCGUGGGUAACCUGCCUUAUACAGGGGGAUAACACUUAGAAAUAGGUGCUAAUACCGCAUAAGCGCACGGGGCUGCAUGGCCCAGUGUGAAAAACUCCGGUGGUAUAAGAUGGACCCGCGUCUGAUUAGCUUGUUGGCGGGGUAACGGCCCACCAAGGCGACGAUCAGUAGCCGGCCUGAGAGGGUGAACGGCCACAUUGGGACUGAGACACGGCCCAAACUCCUACGGGAGGCAGCAG